Molecule: non-coding RNA, 50 nt
Filed under: Trichobilharzia regenti
Lineage: Eukaryota; Metazoa; Platyhelminthes; Trematoda; Strigeidida; Schistosomatidae
Source: RNAcentral
AUCCAUCUGACGAGUCCCAAAUAGAGGACGAAAUGCGCAUCCUGGUGGAU